CAAUUCUCUGCCUCAGCCUCCCAAAUAGCUGGGAUUACAAGCGCCCGCCACCAGGCCCGGCUAAUUUUGUAUUUUUAGUAGAGACGAGGUCUCACCAUCUUGGCCAGGCUGGUCUUGAACUCCUGACCUUGUGAUCCACCUGCCUUGGCCUCCCAAAGUGCUGGGUUUACAGGCGUGAGCCACCGCGCCUGGCUUCAUUCUUUUUUUCAGCUCACACGUGUUUCCUGAGGACCCCUCCGUUCCAGGUUCUGUGCUGGGCUCUUUGUUCUCUCCAAUUGAAAGGGUGUCUCCACUUUUGUCCCUAGUCUGGGUGCCUCUAUGGCAAUAAGGUCACGGCAACAGGGAGGAGCCGGUUCACCCCCGGCUCCGAUUUGCAAUGGGCUGUUCCCCCAGGGCAGCUGCUGCAACAACAUUUACUUUGUACAGCGGCCAAGAGAGAGAGUGAGAGAGAAAGAGAGAGAGAGUGUGUGUGAGCCUACCCCAUUCCAAAAUGUUUCUGACAAAAUCUGGCACUCCUGGUUCUAAUCAAAAUACUGAACUUUGGAACAAAUUAACAUUCCACAGCCCUCGCAGGGAAGGAGAAUUCAGCUGAGACGACUUCAGUUCACAACCACAACAAAAAUAGCUUCUCCCGGGGAAGACACAUUCUGCUAACAAGGUCACUUUUGUUUUGCUUCCCCUGCCAUCUGGUUGAGCGGCACCAGGGGCUGGCUUUGGUACCAGCUUAUUCCGCGGAGAGGGGAUGGGAGCCGGGUGGCGCUGCAGAAGGCUUCUCAGCUUCCUGGCAAGGGGCGCCAGCACAAAGUUACCUUCAGACAUCCCCAGAAAGCACGCAGGCAGAUGGAGCCCCGGUUUCACCCAGCCCGACUCUCAUGCGCUCCUCGCCUGCAGAAGGUGAGACACCAGCAGAAAGCAACAAGCAGGUGGGCGUCAGAGGAGAGCAAGAACGCGACAGAAUGGGAAAGCUAUCUUCGUCUUGCAAAACAUUCCAGAACUCCACCUAACUCACUCAGAGUCUGAGUUCCAGAAGGACAACAAAGAAGCAUGAUUUUGUUUCUUGUUUUUAUUUUUCUUCUUUUAAUUCCCCUCCUUUCUACCUUCAAGGUUCAGCUUCUUUCAGUCAUUGAUCCUGUGACCUCAGGGACACUCAAUCACCUACCUUGGCCUCAGUGUUCGCAUGUGUAGAAUGGGAAUCACUUGCGCAGACCUUAUGCAGUGAUGGGGAAGGUGAAAAGAGCAAAUGUGAUUGUCUAGGGGCCCCUGGCUGAGGUUCUUGAGAGAGAACAUACUGGAAUUCCAUGCUUUGUAGCCUACAAGGGCUUUCAUGCAGACAAUUUAGUAAGAUCCCAUGACAGCCAUCUACAGAGCUUUCACAUGACUUAAAUGGUCUGCCCCCGGUUACUUCAAU
This 1408-nucleotide long non-coding RNA is filed under the name Homo sapiens (human). RNAcentral's name for it is "HSALNT0195608". Lineage: Eukaryota; Metazoa; Chordata; Mammalia; Primates; Hominidae. The record is from RNAcentral.